Molecule: long non-coding RNA, 1558 nt
Organism: Acinonyx jubatus (cheetah)
Lineage: Eukaryota; Metazoa; Chordata; Mammalia; Carnivora; Felidae
Exons: 3
Source: RefSeq, a predicted model, not a curated record
CCAGAUUUCCCACAAAAAAUGGGUAGAUUGUCUUCAAUUGACAAAUGCAACCUGUUAACAUGUAUGCUAGAGGAAAAUGUGUAAGAAGCUGUUAUGUUGGGGAUGAUGGGUUGUCAGCCUGCUUGGAAUAUUUUUUUUAAAAAAGGAUAUUUGAUAAGUUUUCAAAUUAAUAUAAACACUGUAUGUCUAACCCUCAAAUAGUGUUUGCCAAAAAUGCUUUGCAGGAGGACUUGACAUCAAAAAGUACAUCUAAAGAACAGGAGACCAGAAGGACGUGUGCAAGGCUUCCAGUUACCAUCAGUAAAUCCUGUGGCAUUUGGAAAGACAUCUAAUGAGAGUUAUGGAUCAUGGCCUCCCUUCCUGCUACUUUUCAAAAGAGAGACAGCACACGCGAGCAAGCAGGGGAGGGGCAGAGAGAGAGAGAGAAUCUCAAGCACACUCCAUGUCCAGUAUGGAGCCUGAUGUGGGGCUCGAUCUUAUGGCCUUGAGAUUGAUCAUGACCUGAGCCGAAAUCAAGAGUUGGACACUUAACUGACUGAGCCACCCAGGUGCCCUGGAAUAAAUUUCUUCAUUGUAGUGGUUAAGCACGUGGACUUUGAAGCCAGCAUCAAGCCUGGUUUCAAAGUGUGACUGUCUCCUAUUCUUCAUGCCUCAAUUUCCUCACUGUAAAAUGGAGAUUAUAAUAGUUCUUAUUUCACGAAAUUAUUAUGAGAAGUAAUGUGUCAAUGUUGAAAGGGUUUCAGGCAAUUACUGGUGUAUUGCUUACUAUUUCUUCUUUAAAACACAGUUUCAUGAAUGAUUUUUCAAGCAUAAAUAAGUUGAAUGUAGUACUGUGAUGAUUUAAUUGGUACCUCUGAUUGGAUAUUGAACCAUAAAGAAUGACUAUAUAUAUGAUAUUGGAAAGGAAUCUUGUGUUUGGAAGGUAUCUUCUUUCUUGACACAAGUAUUCUCUAGUGGCUUCAUAAGCAUCUUGGAGGAAAGCUAUAGGUUUUAAAUCAGUCUCUCAGGUUUUUAAAGACUCUUCAAAACAAUUUUGAAACUUUUCAGUUCAUUUUUACUAUGUUAGGUUUUAAAUCAUGUAAAAUGUGGAAUCGUAGAAAGAGUAAUAAAUAAUAAUAUUUUUGGUUGGCCUGUUGUAUCUCAAAUGGUGUUGAGAUAAUGCUUUUCCCUUCUUUGUGUGAGUUUGUUCAUGGGGAAAAGCUAGGAAGUAAUUACCUUGUGAUUCUUUGGGCCUUAGUUCAGUAAGAGGCAGAUUUCAUUGUCUUUACAUGUAUUUUAGUUGUAUCACAACUAAUAAUCAAAUUACAAAUACACAGUCAUGUAAUAUCUAACAUAUCAUGUCUAUAUGAUAUAAAAUAUUUCAUAUAUUUUAUGAAAAAUGCAAAAGCAAAAAUGGAUGACUGCUGAAUUUUGGAAGUGAAGAAAGACCAGUUCUGAGAGAAGGGCACUGAGGAACAGGGGAUAUUCUGAGAAUCUGUCACACCUCCUUCUCCUUGACAAGUGUCUGCUCUGGGAGACAGUCCUCAGGACAUUGGGGCAGUGGCAACAGCUAAGCAUC